RNAcentral lists this ribosomal RNA (497 nucleotides) under uncultured bacterium. Its description in RNAcentral is "partial 16S ribosomal RNA". It matches the Rfam family "Bacterial small subunit ribosomal RNA", at positions 28 to 507 of the family's 1533-position model. The record is from RNAcentral.
GAUGAACGCUGGCGGCGUGCCUAAUACAUGCAAGUCGAGCGAACAGAUAAGGAGCUUGCUCCUUUGACGUUAGCGGCGGACGGGUGAGUAACACGUGGGUAACCUACCUAUAAGACUGGAAUAACUCCGGGAAACCGGGGCUAAUGCCGGAUAACAUUUAGAACCGCAUGGUUCUAAAGUGAAAGAUGGUUUUGCUAUCACUUAUAGAUGGACCCGCGCCGUAUUAGCUAGUUGGUAAGGUAACGGCUUACCAAGGCAACGAUACGUAGCCGACCUGAGAGGGUGAUCGGCCACACUGGAACCGAGACACGGUCCAGACUCCUACGGGAGGCAGCAGUAGGGAAUCUUCCGCAAUGGGCGAAAGCCUGACGGAGCAACGCCGCGUGAGUGAUGAAGGUCUUCGGAUCGUAAAACUCUGUUAUUAGGGAAGAACAAAUGUGUAAGUAACUGUGCACGUCUUGACGGUACCUAAUCAGAAAGCCACGGCUAACUACGUG